UUGAACGCUGGCGGCAGGCCUAACACAUGCAAGUCGAGCGGAUGAAGGGAGCUUGCUCCUGGAUUCAGCGGCGGACGGGUGAGUAAUGCCUAGGAAUCUGCCUGGUAGUGGGGGAUAACGUCCGGAAACGGGCGCUAAUACCGCAUACGUCCUGAGGGAGAAAGUGGGGGAUCUUCGGACCUCACGCUAUCAGAUGAGCCUAGGUCGGAUUAGCUAGUUGGUGGGGUAAAGGCCUACCAAGGCGACGAUCCGUAACUGGUCUGAGAGGAUGAUCAGUCACACUGGAACUGAGACACAGUCCAGACUCCUACGGGAGGCAGCAGUGGGGAAUAUUGGACAAUGGGCGAAAGCCUGAUCCAGCCAUGCCGCGUGUGUGAAGAAGGUCUUCGGAUUGUAAAGCACUUUAAGUUGGGAGGAAGGGCAGUAAGUUAAUACCUUGCUGUUUUGACGUUACCAACAGAAUAAGCACCGGCUAACUUCGUG
This 483-nucleotide ribosomal RNA is filed under the name uncultured bacterium. RNAcentral's name for it is "partial 16S ribosomal RNA". It matches the Rfam family "Bacterial small subunit ribosomal RNA", at positions 30 to 507 of the family's 1533-position model. The record is from RNAcentral.